UAGGGAAUCUUCCGCAAUGGACGCAAGUCUGACGGAGCAACGCCGCGUGAGUGAAGAAGGAUUUCGGUUCGUAAAACUCUGUUGUUAGAGAAGAACAGCGCAUAGAGUAACUGUUAUGCGUGUGACGGUAUCUAACCAGAAAGCCACGGCUAACUACGUGCCAGCAGCCGCGGUAAUACGUAGGUGGCAAGCGUUGUCCGGAUUUAUUGGGCGUAAAGCGAGCGCAGGCGGUCAAUUAAGUCUGAUGUGAAAGCCCCCGGCUCAACCGGGGAGGGUCAUUGGAAACUGGUUGACUUGAGUGCAGAAGAGGAGAGUGGAAUUCCAUGUGUAGCGGUGAAAUGCGUAGAUAUAUGGAGGAACACCAGUGGCGAUGGCGACUCUCUGGUCUGUAACUGACGCUGAGGUUCGAAAGCGUGGGUAGCAAACAGG
RNAcentral lists this ribosomal RNA (429 nucleotides) under Bacteroidota bacterium. RNAcentral describes it as "Bacteroidetes bacterium partial 16S ribosomal RNA". It matches the Rfam family "Bacterial small subunit ribosomal RNA", at positions 355 to 776 of the family's 1533-position model. Lineage: Bacteria; Pseudomonadati; Bacteroidota. The record is from RNAcentral.